Long non-coding RNA from Mesocricetus auratus (golden hamster), 1001 nucleotides. RefSeq lists it as uncharacterized. The record is from RefSeq and is a predicted model, not a curated record. The transcript is spliced from 2 exons. Lineage: Eukaryota; Metazoa; Chordata; Mammalia; Rodentia; Cricetidae.
AGAUAGGAUUAACAAACCGUAGGUAGAGAGCCUCAGAAGUAAGGUCACUGUUAGACCAUAGUUCUGGGGUCUCAACAAAUAACCUGCAUCACAGAGUGACACAGAAGGACAAGACCUGUGGAGUAAUGUCUCUGGUGCCUGUGGGUGAGUGCUUGCUACAGCAUAUUUUUGGAAGAUGGAGACAUCUUGGAGUCAAUUCUCUCAUCAUGUGGGUUCCUGGGAUUGAACUCAGAUUGUCUGGCUUGACAGCAAGUGCCUUCACCUGCUGAGCUACCUUGCUGUCCCAGGACAUUGAAUGUAAACUUUUUGCUGUUGUUUUUCUUUGUGGUUCUGGGGGUUGAACCUGGGCCUUGUGAAUGCUGGGCAGCACUCUCCUAGAGAGGUCCCACAUCCACAACCCACACAGGCCCUUCUACUUGGCCAUGAAAGUUGGAUGCUCUUUCCAAGGUGAGCUCUUUUGGGCCUGUUCUCCAGUGCUUGUAGCCUCAUAUUGUCCUUGACAGGAUCCUCUUUUCCAGUUCUGUGCCUUCUGGGUCACCAAACCCACCAGUAUGAGUUAAACUUGUCUUGUCCCAUCAGGCAGGGGACUGACUUUGGAAGAUUGGGGCUGGAUAUACAACUAAUACUUGUGCAUUCCUACACACUUUGCAUUGAGCUUGAAGUAUUCACAGUUGGGAUAUCAACUGACCCGUUGAAAUGUCUGGGGUGCCAGGAGAGCAGCUUAUUAUGUUAUUGUAUCCAUUUUUUCAGAUAGAGAACUACUACAGGCCAAGAUUACACACAGUUUAGAAAUGAAGAGGCAGGUAUGCUUGGCAACUGAGGUGGUCAAAAUAUGUUCCAGUAAUACUUUAUUAAUGCUGAAGAUUUUGAAGUGCACAGCUGUUAAAGAGAUUAUGAGAAGUUAUGCAUUUGGCAACUAUGAUUUUUCUAUUGGAUGCCAUUUACAUACGUAGGAAAUUGAUUAGCCUAUGAAACAAGUUCUGGUCUGCUUUUCUUUGUGA